RNAcentral lists this small RNA (586 nucleotides) under Pan troglodytes (chimpanzee). RNAcentral's name for it is "processed transcript". Lineage: Eukaryota; Metazoa; Chordata; Mammalia; Primates; Hominidae. The record is from RNAcentral.
AGGCAUGCUCUGGGUGUGCAGGAGAUGCACCGGCUUGUGUGAGCCGGUAGGGCAGGACGCGCGUGGAAGGGUCCACGUCUUGAGUAUGCAUGCUUAGAUCUAGCGUUCCUGUUGAUGGAGUCAUGGUCCUCGCAUUGACCAGAUCCGGGGCUUCAUUUUUUAAACCUCAUUCGUCCACUCCCCACCCCAGCCUGGUGUCCGCACCCUUUGAUGGGGCGGGGAUAGGCGAGAAGGUCCUGUGGUUCUCUGCCUUCUUCUGGUGAAUUAAAAUCCGAUUUGGAAGAGGGAAGGGCAGCCAGCACCAAAGAGGACUGUCAGAAGGACGUAGAAGGCACAGUUUUACUGUGAGGAGCAAAGAUUCUUUACCUACGCAUUUUACAAGAAAUGUGCAGAAAGCCAUUGAUAAAUACACCUGCGAAUCCUUGUCAUCCUUUUCCUCCAGCGGAAGCCAUACACCCACGGGAGCCCACACCUCUUGGUCUGGGUCGGCCACACAGAGCUCUACCACCGGCUCAUCCACGGAGAGGGGCUCCAUUUAUUCCUGGAGAGAUGACGAAUUUGACGAAGCCAGUUCACAGUCAGUGCA